UGGGGAAUAUUGGACAAUGGGGGAAACCCUGAUCCAGCGACGCCGCGUGAAUGAUGAAGGUUUUCGGAUUGUAAAGUUCUUUUGUUAGGGAAGAUAAUGACGGUACCUAACGAAUAAGCCCCGGCUAACUUCGUGCCAGCAGCCGCGGUAAUACGAAGGGGGCUAGCGUUGUUCGGAAUGACUGGGCGUAAAGGGCGCGUAGGUGGUUUACUUUGUCUGGUGUGAAAGUCAAGGGCUUAACCUUUGGAUUGCAUUGGAAACGGGUAGACUGGAGUGCGGAAGAGGAGCGUAGAAUUGCUUGUGUAGAGGUGAAAUUCGUAGAUAUAAGCAAGAAUACCAAAGGCGAAGGCAUUGCUCUGGUCCGCAACUGACACUAAGGCGCGAAAGCGUGGGGAGCAAA
RNAcentral lists this ribosomal RNA (400 nucleotides) under uncultured bacterium. RNAcentral describes it as "bacterial SSU rRNA". It matches the Rfam family "Bacterial small subunit ribosomal RNA", at positions 355 to 772 of the family's 1533-position model. The record is from RNAcentral.